UGCCUGGAAAUUGUCCUCGGAGGUGUUUUCUCGUCCUGUCAAACCACACCCUUGGCCUCUUCCCACGCAUUGCACCAGAGCCCAUAGGGACACGGGUAACGCUGGCUCAGACUUCAGGAUCUUUUAGCACCUGGCCUUUAGGAUCUGCGGGCUCAAAGGGAUCACAGCCGUUGUCCAGAGAGCCACACCUCAGUGUAUCAGCGGCGGCCGCAGCCCCCACGCCACCCUGCUGUGACCAGCAGCACCCGACUCGUGUAGGGAGCGCCGGGCUGGCUUCCACCGGGUGUCCCACAGUGCGGGGUGGGAGCUGCCAGGCCCCAGGAUCCCCGUCCGGCCGUGGGUGGAUCCCGUGAGACCCCGGGAAUCCCCGUCCGGCCGUGGGUGGAUCCCGUGAGACCCCGGGGAUCCCCGUCCGGCCGUGGGUGGAUCCCGUGAGGCCCCGGGGAUCCCCGUCCGGCCCUGGGUGAACCCAGCCAGGCGCUGGGGGUCCCUACUAGGCCACGGAACGAUCACUGCCAGGGCAUGGGGGAUCGCAGGCAGGGUGCAGGUGGAUCCCUGCCACGGUCACGGUGGAUCCCGGUGAGGCCCUAGGACGGUCCCGAUUUCGGGAAUCUCCCAGGCAAAAGGGCGGAGCUGCAGGCGGAUCUCGGCGCGGGAAGAUGGCGUCACGCGCGCCACCAGAAGCCGGUAGAGCGUUCCUCGGCACACGUGUUCCUGGUGGGCGCUUUAACUCCGAGCGGGGCUCCCUAUUGGCCAGCGGGGUGAUUGACAGCCCGAGAGCCAACCAGAUGCCUCCAUUCUGUCCCCGUAGCCAAUGAGAGGCAGGGGGCGGGCGGCGGCGCCAGCGUGGGGCUCAGUUGAAUGUGUGAGGCGGCGGCUGCGGGAGAACAGCAUUUUAGAAUGCCGAAAAUGAUUGUGGAAAACAAAGAAAAGAAAGCAGAAAAAAGAAAAAAGCUGAAGCAACAUGUGGCCCAAAAGGAUGAGCUGGAAGUGGAAACUAAACCGAAGAAGAAGAAGCAAAAGCUGCAGGUUUGGCUCUUUAAUUCAAUACGAUAUGGAUUUGUUGUUGCUGUAGAUUCUGUUCUGAACAUGAGUGUAGUGUUGCAUUCAGUUGCAGUGAUUCCUUGGAUGCAAUAUGCCUAGAGUGAAAGCUAAAAGGAAAAGAGGAAUUGAGCCAAAUCUGGGUACAGUCGUGGCAGGCAGAGAGGUGAUCUCUGUUUGUUUUGGAUGUUUCUGUGACAGAGAAUGGAUGUGGGUGAAAUGUGAACCAAGUGAGGAGCUGUCAUAUGGCAGUCUCGGUGUAGCUUCAG
Corvus moneduloides (New Caledonian crow) is the source of this 1310-nucleotide long non-coding RNA. NCBI's taxonomy places the organism in Eukaryota, Metazoa, Chordata, Aves, Passeriformes, Corvidae. The record is from Ensembl.